CAGAGGCCACGAACGUUGUUCGGAAUCACUGGGCAUAAAGCGCACGUAGGCGGCUAGGUCCGUCCGAUGUGAAAGCCCCCGGCUCAACCGGGGAAUUGCAUCGGAUACAGCCUGGCUUGAGGACGGUUGGGGUGAGUGGAACUCCUGGUGGAGCGGUGAAAUGCGUAGAUAUCAGGAGGAACACCGGUGGCGAAAGCGGCUCACUGGACCGUUUCUGACGCUGAGGUGCGAAAGCUAGGGGAGCAAACGGGAUUAGAUACCCCGGUAGUCCUAGCCGUAAACGAUGGGCACUGGGUAGGGGGAAGCCUAUGCUCUUCCCUGCCGAAGCAAAUGUAUUAAGUGCCCCGCCUGGGGAGUACGCUCGCAAGGGUA
This 372-nucleotide ribosomal RNA is filed under the name uncultured organism. RNAcentral describes it as "bacterial SSU rRNA". It matches the Rfam family "Bacterial small subunit ribosomal RNA", at positions 526 to 896 of the family's 1533-position model. The record is from RNAcentral.